GUGAAUCAUCAAAUUUUUGAACGCACAUUGCACUCUUUUCGAUUCGUAUGCCUGUUCGUGUGUCAGCCUCUUUAAAAUCGACAUCGUUGCUGUUUCGCGGUGGCGUUCGUCGGAAAUUGGGUCAUGUUAAAUCUUUUGGUUUUAAGCGACUUACAAUUUUCUUUUUGGUUCCAUUACCGUUUCUAAGAUUUAUUUCUUUACACGUUUAAGGUAUCGAAUUUUAUUAGACGUGACCAUCAUAUCGGAUCGCGCCCAUAAUCUUUCAUUAACUGUACUCAGACAGGUAGG
RNAcentral lists this unclassified non-coding RNA (288 nucleotides) under Glomus sp. RNAcentral describes it as "partial internal transcribed spacer 2". Lineage: Eukaryota; Fungi; Glomeromycota; Glomeromycetes; Glomerales; Glomeraceae. The record is from RNAcentral.